GUCCACGCCCUAAACGAUGUCUACUAGUUGUCGGGUCUUAAUUGACUUGGUAACGCAGCUAACGCGUGAAGUAGACCGCCUGGGGAGUACGGUCGCAAGAUUAAAACUCAAAGGAAUUGACGGGGACCCGCACAAGCGGUGGAUGAUGUGGAUUAAUUCGAUGCAACGCGAAAACCUUACCCACCUUUGACAUGUACGGAAGUUACCAGAGAUGGUUUCGUGCUCGAAAGAGAGCCGUAACACAGGUGCUGCAUGGCUGUCGU
This 263-nucleotide ribosomal RNA is filed under the name uncultured bacterium. RNAcentral's name for it is "partial 16S ribosomal RNA". It matches the Rfam family "Bacterial small subunit ribosomal RNA", at positions 793 to 1055 of the family's 1533-position model. The record is from RNAcentral.